AUCUCCAGAUCUCUCUUGGAGCCCUUCUGUGAGUCCAGGACAUGGGACCAUUGAUAUUUCCUGGGGUGCCAGAUAAUUUGAGGCACGAGCUCUGGAUGGCAUGUGGUCCAAGGCUGCACUCCAGUCUGGGCUGAACAGGCAGUUGGCAGCUGAAGCUGUUGGAGCAUGAACUGCACAUAGUGAAACAUGGGAUGACUUCCUCUUGUGAUCUCAGUGUGGAGCUAGGAGAAGAGCCUGGCUGUAGAGAAUCAUAAAAGGUAGCUGAAGAAAGCAGAAUGUGCCACCUUUUCUUCUCCAGAGUGACUCAAGCCAGCUGUGUCAGCCUCUCCUCAUAUGUCCUGUGCUCUGUCCUCUUGCUCACCUGGGUUUUCUGGACGUUUUCUGUAGCUUGCUAAAGAUGUCUUUGUUUUUGUGGUGAGUCCUAAUGAGGACCUGGUCCUUCUACUGUGUCUCACAACUGCUGAAUAAGUGUAGGAACGACUUCCCCAACUCUGCUGGCAUGAAUGUGGUUAACAGUUUUGAGGAUGGGAAGCAGAAAGAUGGAAUCAGUAUGGGGCCUCUUCCUGAGCACAAAGUACCUACAAAAAGCUGAGCUCAGACUUUAAGGACCUUCCAACAGCAAGUAGAGAAUGUGUCAGAUGUUUUGCUCAAAUCUAGAUAAUGAACAUCUACUACUUUAAAUGAUUCAUUUCAUGGUAGAAAGCUGUCAGGUUGGCCAGAGAAGAUACACAUUCACAGUUUUUGAACAUGGAUUUCGCAGUGCAAUAGACAAGAUUUGUUGGAGAUGUAUUGCACUCAGUCUGGAUUCUUGUAGGAACACGUUCUUAUUGAGCAUUUAGUGGGUGUCCUCCUUCUACUGAGCCAAAGAAAUGAAUGAGAAAUUACUGAAAUAUAUUCACUACUAGUUUGCUGUGAAGUUCUAUUUUAUAACACCUUCUUUAGGAAAAGAAUUGUAAUUUUAAGAUGACUGUGUAUCUUUUUUGACCAAAGAUUUUCUUGCUGCUUGGUACUUGGUAUGACUCAUUCAAAUAUCUUCUAUAGACAGCGUGCUGCAUACCUUCAAGUCUCUCUUGUGUCUUUAAGGAAGUAAAACUUUACUGCUUCUUGCCAGCAAAAUAAAUAAAUAAGUAGAUAAAAUUGAGGCUUCAAAAAUUCUUCAAACACAACACAGUGGUAAGCAGUGUCUGUGUUCAUCAGUGUUACUAGAAUAUGUAUGUUAAUGAAUUACAUAAUUACAGUGCUAAUGAUCAUUAAUUCCAAAAGGCAAAUUAUUAUUUGGGGGAAUGUGUUGUGUCAUUAAAAAUUAGGGAAGCAAAAUACUUACAAUUGUCACAAAUGUGGCUGUAUAUUUUCAUAAUACAGUUACCCAUGUAGAUCUGUAUUUGAGGGAAAAAAAAACCAUUAUUUUUUCCAUUUGUAAAAUAUGGUUUGUUAUUAGUCUUUUGUUGACUAAAUGAGUUCAU
Molecule: long non-coding RNA, 1463 nt
Filed under: Gallus gallus (chicken)
Lineage: Eukaryota; Metazoa; Chordata; Aves; Galliformes; Phasianidae
Description: lncRNA (ENSGALG00010000854.1)
Source: RNAcentral